RNAcentral lists this ribosomal RNA (401 nucleotides) under uncultured Lactobacillus sp. Its description in RNAcentral is "bacterial SSU rRNA". It matches the Rfam family "Bacterial small subunit ribosomal RNA", at positions 63 to 446 of the family's 1533-position model. Lineage: Bacteria; Bacillati; Bacillota; Bacilli; Lactobacillales; Lactobacillaceae. The record is from RNAcentral.
CGAAACUAACAGAUUUACUUCGGUAAUGACGUUAGGAAAGCGAGCGGCGGAUGGGUGAGUAACACGUGGGGAACCUGCCCCAUAGUCUGGGAUACCACUUGGAAACAGGUGCUAAUACCGGAUAAGAAAGCAGAUCGCAUGAUCAGCUUUUAAAAGGCGGCGUUAGCUGUCGCUAUGGGAUGGCCCCGCGGUGCAUUAGCUAGUUGGUAAGGUAAAGGCUUACCAAGGCGAUGAUGCAUAGCCGAGUUGAGAGACUGAUCGGCCACAUUGGGACUGAGACACGGCCCAAACUCCUACGGGAGGCAGCAGUAGGGAAUCUUCCACAAUGGACGCAAGUCUGAUGGAGCAACGCCGCGUGAGUGAAGAAGGUUUUCGGAUCGUAAAGCUCUGUUGUUGGUGAA